AUCUUCGACACUUCGUUUUCCCGGAAUUUGUGAGGAGUGAGGAAUCGAAUCGAGCUGGGAAUCGCCGCCUAUAACCCUAAAUUAGUUUGAUGCAGAAAAUCAGAAAUUAAAACUCAAAAAAAACCUCAGAGAGUAGUCGAGUACUGGGAUGAAAUCAUGAGAAUGAGAUGAGACUUACAAAACUUACAAAAGUAGUGAAGUUAACCGGUGAAGAUGAGAUGAGACUCGAGCUCGAAUGUCGACUGGUCGUAACUCGAUUCGCAGACUGAUAUCCUAGAGUCGCAGUCGAUUCUCGUCUUCUUCUUCUCGUUCUCAAUGAUAUCUCCUAAGCAAUAAGCACU
RNAcentral lists this long non-coding RNA (341 nucleotides) under Nicotiana tabacum (common tobacco). Its description in RNAcentral is "long non-coding RNA (NTAB_LNC009599)". The record is from RNAcentral. Lineage: Eukaryota; Viridiplantae; Streptophyta; Magnoliopsida; Solanales; Solanaceae.